RNAcentral lists this non-coding RNA (1036 nucleotides) under Caenorhabditis japonica. RNAcentral's name for it is "Eukaryotic small subunit ribosomal RNA". It matches the Rfam family "Eukaryotic small subunit ribosomal RNA", at positions 759 to 1831 of the family's 1831-position model. Lineage: Eukaryota; Metazoa; Nematoda; Chromadorea; Rhabditida; Rhabditidae. The record is from Rfam by way of RNAcentral.
GAAUAAAUCAGAGUGCUCAAUACAGGCGCUUGCUUGAAUAGCUCAUCAUGGAAUAAUGAAACAGGACUUCGGUUCUUUUUGUUGGUUCUAGAAUUGAUCUAAUGGUUAAGAGGGACAAACCGGGGGCAUUCGUAUCAUUACGCGAGAGGUGAAAUUCGUGGACCGUAGUGAGACGCCCAAUAGCGAAAGCAUUUGCCAAGAAUGUCUUCAUUAAUCAAGAACGAAAGUCAGAGGUUCGAAGGCGAUUAGAUACCGCCCUAGUUCUGACCGUAAACGAUGCCAUCUCGCGAUUCGGAGGGUUCAUGCCCUACCGAGGAGCUACCCGGAAACGAAAGUCUUUCGGUUCCGGGGGUAGUAUGGUUGCAAAGCUGAAACUUAAAGAAAUUGACGGAAGGGCACCACAAGGCGUGGAGCUUGCGGCUUAAUUUGACUCAACACGGGAAAACUCACCCGGUCCGGACACUAUUAGGACUGACAGAUUGAAAGCUCUUUCUCGAUUUGGUGGUUGGUGGUGCAUGGCCGUUUUUAGUUGGUGGAGUGAUUUGUCUGGUUUAUUCCGAUAACGAGCGAGACUCUAGCCUGCUAAAUAGUCGACGAAUCUUCGGGUUCGUAUAACUUCUUAGAGGGAUAAGCGGUGUUUAGCCGCACGAGAUUGAGCGAUAACAGGUCUGUGAUGCCCUUAGAUGUCCGGGGCUGCACGCGUGCUACACUGGUGGAGUCAGCGGGUUUUUCCUAUGCCGAAAGGUAUCGGUAAACCGUUGAACUUCUUCCAUGUCCGGGAUAGGGUAUUGUAAUUAUUACCCUUAAACGAGGAAUGCCUAGUAAGUGUGAGUCAUCAGCUCACGUUGAUUACGUCCCUGCCCUUUGUACACACCGCCCGUCGCUAUCCGGGACUGAACUGAUUCGAGAAGAGUGGGGACUGUGGCUGCGAGGUUUUACCACUUCGCAGUUGCGGAAACCAUUUUUAUCGCAUUGGUUUGAACCGGGUAAAAGUCGUAACAAGGUAGCUGUAGGUGAACCUGCAGCUGGAUCAUCG